GCCUCGGUAGUGUAGUAGAUCAGCACGGCGGAGAGGGAUAUCUGUCGGUAAGUGUGGGUUCGAGUCCCGCCUGAGGUU
This 78-nucleotide transfer RNA is filed under the name Dictyocaulus viviparus (bovine lungworm). It matches the Rfam family "tRNA". From Rfam's summary of the family: Transfer RNA (tRNA) molecules are approximately 80 nucleotides in length. Their secondary structure includes four short double-helical elements and three loops (D, anti-codon, and T loops). Further hydrogen bonds mediate the characteristic L-shaped molecular structure. tRNAs have two regions of fundamental functional importance: the anti-codon, which is responsible for specific mRNA codon recognition, and the 3' end, to which the tRNAs corresponding amino acid is attached (by aminoacyl-tRNA synthetases). tRNAs cope with the degeneracy of the genetic code in two manners: having more than one tRNA (with a specific anti-codon) for a particular amino acid; and 'wobble' base-pairing, i.e. permitting non-standard base-pairing at the 3rd anti-codon position. The record is from Rfam by way of RNAcentral. Lineage: Eukaryota; Metazoa; Nematoda; Chromadorea; Rhabditida; Metastrongylidae.